Molecule: transfer RNA, 71 nt
Filed under: Chloroflexota bacterium
Lineage: Bacteria; Bacillati; Chloroflexota
Description: tRNA-Gly
Rfam family: tRNA
About the family: Transfer RNA (tRNA) molecules are approximately 80 nucleotides in length. Their secondary structure includes four short double-helical elements and three loops (D, anti-codon, and T loops).
Source: RNAcentral
GCGGGUAUGGUGUAGUGGUAGCACACGACCCUUCCAAGGUCUUGGCGUCGGUUCGAAUCCGAUUACCCGCU